CGGAGCGUGGCCAAGCUUGGUCUAAGGCGCUACCUUGGGGUGGUAGAGAUCGCUGGUUCGAAUCCAGUCGCUCCGA
RNAcentral lists this transfer RNA (76 nucleotides) under candidate division WOR-1 bacterium RIFOXYA2_FULL_41_14. Its description in RNAcentral is "tRNA-Pro". It matches the Rfam family "tRNA". Rfam says of the family: Transfer RNA (tRNA) molecules are approximately 80 nucleotides in length. Their secondary structure includes four short double-helical elements and three loops (D, anti-codon, and T loops). Further hydrogen bonds mediate the characteristic L-shaped molecular structure. tRNAs have two regions of fundamental functional importance: the anti-codon, which is responsible for specific mRNA codon recognition, and the 3' end, to which the tRNAs corresponding amino acid is attached (by aminoacyl-tRNA synthetases). tRNAs cope with the degeneracy of the genetic code in two manners: having more than one tRNA (with a specific anti-codon) for a particular amino acid; and 'wobble' base-pairing, i.e. permitting non-standard base-pairing at the 3rd anti-codon position. RNAcentral also lists the same sequence under 2 other names. The record is from RNAcentral. Lineage: Bacteria; Bacillati.